Molecule: long non-coding RNA, 587 nt
Organism: Phyllostomus discolor (pale spear-nosed bat)
Lineage: Eukaryota; Metazoa; Chordata; Mammalia; Chiroptera; Phyllostomidae
Exons: 3
Source: RefSeq, a predicted model, not a curated record
AAAAAGGCCAUCAAAGAGAACACUUCCCAAAUCAUUUCAUGAAGUCAGUGUUACUCUGAUACCAAUACCAGAGAGACAUCACAAGAAAACCACAGACCAAUACCCUUUAUAAAUAUGGAGGCUAAAAUCCUCAACAAAAUACUAGCAAACUGAUUCCAUUUUAGGAUUAUACACAAUUAAAUGGAAUUCAUCCCAGGAAUGCAAGGCUGGCUUAAAAUCUGAAAACCAGUUAAUGUAAUACACCAUUCUGAGUAAAAUAAAAAAACAAAACCACAUGAUAAUCUCAAAAGACAGAGAAAAAGUAUCUGACAAAUGCUUUUGAGAAAAACAUGCAACAAACUAGGAAUAAAAGUCUAAUUCCUCAACCUGACAAACAGCAUCUAUGAAAAAAACCAUAGUUAACACUUAUUCCCAAAAUGAGGAAUAAAAACAAGGAUGUCUGCUCUCACUACUUCUAUUCAACAUUAUAUGAAGAGUCUGAUCAGGAUAACUAGACAAGAAAAAGAAAUAACAGGCAUCCAGAUUAAAAGGGGGAAGCAGACCUAUCUCCAUUUGCAGAUGACAUGAUCUCGUAUACAGGAAAUCCU